This 1920-nucleotide long non-coding RNA is filed under the name Brachypodium distachyon (stiff brome). RNAcentral's name for it is "long non-coding RNA (BDIS_LNC003808)". Lineage: Eukaryota; Viridiplantae; Streptophyta; Magnoliopsida; Poales; Poaceae. The record is from RNAcentral.
GAAGCUCAAGAACACUCUGGAGGUAUCUACUAUUUAAUGCUUUUGCAUCUACAACAAAAUAGAAGAUACCUAAUUUGUAGCCAUUAAUAGAAAUACCAUUUGGUAGCCUGCCAAAAUUGAAAUAAAGAAAUAGCAUGUGAAUUUUUUAGCUAUCACCAUGGUAGAAACCCAUUCCAUAUGCUUCAAAGUAGAAGAUAAAUAAUUUGUAGGCAUUAGCGGAAAGACCAAUAGCAUGUGAUUUUUUUAGCUAUCACCAUGGUAGAAACACAUUCCAUAUGCUUGAAAGUAGAAGAUAAAUAAUUAGUAUCCAUUAACGGAAAGGCCAAUCAGCGGUCAUAGCGACCUACAAGCUUUGUUAACCAAAAAAUAAUUCUCGUGUCAGAGUGAUGCAUUAGAGUAGUCUAAAAUAGUUUUUCUACCAAUUGAUCUAGAAAGAGUGCCCACACCCUUGCAGAUAUGAUCAUUAUGGUACAGUUAAAGUGAUUGUUAAGAACGUUAGUCAACAUUUUAGGUGUACUUUGGUGUUAUGUAUAUAAAACUGAAAGCCAUUUGUCCAUUCUAGAUGACAUCAUUAUUAGGUGUCAAACUGAAGACAUAUAAAUGUAUAUACAUACAUCUUGUAAAGUGGGUAGCAUACCAGGUCAUGAUAAAGCAGAGGCUACAUAUUAUGUCAAAGCUGGUAACUCGACAGUGAGAAGUCAUAAAAAUGCAAGAUUAAGACAACUGAAUUAUUGAUAGAAGAGCAGCCAGCAUAAGAUUAUUAACAAAUAUAGAUAUUGGCCAGCAUAAGAUUAUUAACCAAUGUUUUUAGUCUUAUAUGUAAUCUGUUUUCUGAUUGCUUACAUCACGGAUGGAACACGGUUUGCUAAAUGAAUGCAUGACUCGUAUUCAGUAUCCAAUGAAUGGAAAAUAGAUACUGGACAGCAUAAGAUUAUUAACCUUGCUGUCUGGCCUUCGGGGAUGCUUUAAUUAGAAAAUGAAAAUAUAUUUGCUCAACAGCUUAAAUUUUCCAUAGAGACAACAAAGAAGUGCACACAUUACUGCCCCUGAUAUUUUGACAUUGUUUCCUACCAAUAAACUCUAUGCAUUGAGACAAACUGAUAGUGAUCUACAUGUAUAUAACGGAAUACAAGAAACUGAGAAUGUGACUCUGACUCCAACUUGCAUCUCUUAUCUCAUUGCUUGAAAGAACAGAAAAGGCACAGCAGACCAAGUAGAUGGGGGCAACGAUUUUCUAAUAUUAUUAUUAAGGAACUGAUGAUUUGAUUACAUAAACUAUUCAAAAGAAAAUUGAUGAAUUGAUUACAGAAACAAUUCGUGACACACGUCAGUGCAGUGCUAGAAACAGAUCUAAUUACAAUUGAAAGACUGCAAUUGAAGGGAAGCCAAACUUACAAACUUCAGACAAUAAAUAGGAUAUUGAUCCACAAGUCCACAACCACGGAUCGAGAAUACAAUCAUAACGGUCUCCUCCGUGAGGGCGACGUCAGCAGGUUCGAUCAAUCGGGACAUGGACGAUUAAGGCGACUGAGGUGGUAGUGUUGAUUCCUCAGGACAACAACGCUGCAACGCUUGGGUAAAGCCAUGGUGGAAGCCUGGUGAGAGCGUGAGGCCUCACCUCUGAGGUGACCCUCAUGAACGUCUAGGGCAUGUGCUGCCGUUCGGGACGAUCGGGAGAGAGGACGGUCGGGAAUUCGGUAGAGAGCAGUCGCUGGCCGCCAAAAGAUGUAGCUAGGUCGCGCGUAGAGCUCAAGAGAGAAUCAGGGCGGCGCUGGGUGUCGUCAGAUUGGAAAGAAAAGUAUAUUGGGGGAGAACGGAGGUUAGAGAUGAUACGUUUAUUUUAUUGAUGGCAUAGGUGGGUAAUUAUUUUGCAAUUCUAGAUAAACGGCUGAUGUCUUCUGAUGUAUCGAAUAAAUGGCA